GACGAACGCUGGCGGCGUGCUUAACACAUGCAAGUCGAACGGAGUGGCGAACGGGUGAGUAACACGUGGGUGACCUGCCCUGCACUUCGGGAUAAGCCUGGGAAACUGGGUCUAACACCGGACAGUGGGGGAUGUGCGCGCGGCCUAGCAGCUUGUUGGUGGGGUAAAGGCUUACCAAGGCGGCGGCGGGUAGCCGGCCUGAGAGGGUGGACGGCCACAUUGGGCCGUAGACACGGCCAAGACGCCUACGGGAGGCAGCAGUGGGGAAUAUUGCGAGCUGGGCGGAAGCCUGAUGGAGCGACUCCGGGUUGGGGAUGACGGCCUUCGGGUUGUAAACUCCUUUCACCAUCGACGCGGUAGAUGGAGAAGAAGCACCGGCUAACUACGUGCCAGCAGCCGCGGUAAUAC
Molecule: ribosomal RNA, 408 nt
Filed under: uncultured bacterium
Lineage: Bacteria
Description: partial 16S ribosomal RNA
Rfam family: Bacterial small subunit ribosomal RNA
Source: RNAcentral